RNAcentral lists this ribosomal RNA (346 nucleotides) under uncultured fungus. Its description in RNAcentral is "SSU rRNA". It matches the Rfam family "Eukaryotic small subunit ribosomal RNA", at positions 20 to 370 of the family's 1831-position model. The record is from RNAcentral. Lineage: Eukaryota; Fungi.
GUAGUCAUAUGCUUGUCUCAAAGAUUAUGCCAUGCAUGUCUAAGUAUAAGCAAUUUAUACGGUGAAACUGCGAAUGACUCAUUAAAUCAGUUAUAGUUUAUUUGAUAGUACCUUACUACAUGGAUACCUGUGGUAAUUCUAGAGCUAAUACAUGCUUAAAACUCCGACUUCGGAAGGAGUGUAUUUAUUAGAUAAAAACCAAUGUCCUCCGGGGCUCCUUGGUGAAUCAUGAUAACUUCUCGAAUCGCAUGGCCUUGCGCUGGCGAUGGUUCAUUCAAAUUUCUGCCCUAUCAACUUUCGAUGGUAGGAUAGUGACCUACCAUGGUGGCAACGGGUAACGGGGAAU